AGCUCGCAAGCAGGUGAGUUGCAAUAACUGGUUCUUGGAGUUUCAGGUUAUAGAUUGAUGUUUCAGAAACUUGAUUGUUGCAUUCUCAUUUUAUAGGCAUACACACUAGAACUGGAAGCUGAGAUUGCGAAACUGAAGGAGAUGAAUGAAGAACUGGAGAGGAAACAGGUAACACUCAUUCAUUCCUUAACUUGAGAUGUUAGCAAAUUUUCUUUCGUUGGCUUGGUCUGACCAAAGCUCAAUCUGGUUGAUGCAGGAUGAACUAAUGCAGAUGCAGAAAAACCAGGUAUGAAUGAACUAUGACUAUCAGCCAACUUGGUGUGAAUCAUGGUUCUCAUUCUUUGACUGUUAAUGGUGAUUGCCCUUUGCUUGUGAUUGCAGUUCUUGGAGAAAAUGAA
RNAcentral lists this long non-coding RNA (398 nucleotides) under Linum usitatissimum (flax). RNAcentral describes it as "long non-coding RNA (LUSI_LNC001431)". Lineage: Eukaryota; Viridiplantae; Streptophyta; Magnoliopsida; Malpighiales; Linaceae. The record is from RNAcentral.